CCAUACUGUGGCUUCCUGGGGGACCCUUCCCCACCAUAACCAUACCCGCCACCUUGUUCCUCUCCGAAGCUAGGUUUCCGACCGUACCCAGAUCCAUAUUCAGAACUCGGUGCUUCGUACUCAGGCCUCCGACCAUACCCAGAUCCAUACUCCGAACUGGGCUGCUCGAACUCGGGCCUCCGACCAUACCCAGAUCCAUACUCCGAACUAGGUUGCUCGUAUUCAGGCUUCCGACCGUACCCAGAUCCAUAUUCCGUGCUAGGCUGUUCGUAUUCAGGCUUCCGACCGUACCCAGAUCCAUAUUCCGAGCUAGGCUGUUCGUAUUCAGGCUUCCGACCGUACCCAGAUCCAUAUUCCGAGCUAGGCUGUUCGUAUUCAGGCUUCCGACCGUAGCCAGAUCCAUAUUCCGAGCUAGGCUGUUCGCAUUCAGGCUUCCGACCGUACCCGGAUCCGUACUCCGAACUGGGUUCCUCGUAAUCAGGCUUCCGCCCAUGCCCAGAUCC
Molecule: long non-coding RNA, 503 nt
Filed under: Vitis vinifera (wine grape)
Lineage: Eukaryota; Viridiplantae; Streptophyta; Magnoliopsida; Vitales; Vitaceae
Description: long non-coding RNA (VVIN_LNC004905)
Source: RNAcentral